GACGAACGCUGGCGGCGUGCUUAACACAUGCAAGUCGAACGGAAAGGCCCUGCUUUUGUGGGGUGCUCGAGUGGCGAACGGGUGAGUAACACGUGAGUAACCUGCCCUUGACUUUGGGAUAACUUCAGGAAACUGGGGCUAAUACCGGAUAGGAGCUCCUGCUGCAUGGUGGGGGUUGGAAAGUUUCGGCGGUUGGUGAUGGACUCGCGGCUUAUCAGCUUGUUGGUGGGGUAGUGGCUUACCAAGGCUUUGACGGGUAGCCGGCCUGAGAGGGUGACCGGCCACAUUGGGACUGAGAUACGGCCCAGACUGCUACGGGAGGCAGCAGUGGGGAAUAUUGCACAAUGGGCGGAAGCCUGAUGCAGCAACGCCGCGUGCGGGAUGACGGCCUUCGGGUUGUAAACCGCUUUCGCCUGUGACGAAGCGUGAGUGACGGUAAUGGGUAAAGAAGCACCGGCUAACUACGUG
Molecule: ribosomal RNA, 468 nt
Filed under: uncultured bacterium
Lineage: Bacteria
Description: partial 16S ribosomal RNA
Rfam family: Bacterial small subunit ribosomal RNA
Source: RNAcentral